Molecule: long non-coding RNA, 923 nt
Organism: Triticum dicoccoides
Lineage: Eukaryota; Viridiplantae; Streptophyta; Magnoliopsida; Poales; Poaceae
Exons: 3
Source: RefSeq, a predicted model, not a curated record
CCUCGCGCCGCCACUUUCCAAAUCCCACAUCGGGAUCCUCCCUGAUCCCCUCGUCCACUUUGUUUUCCCCGUCGCUCGAAUCAGGGCCUCCCCUGCCUUCCCGAUCCAUCCAUCCAUCCAACCAUCAGCCAGCCACAGCGCCUCCCUGCUCGAUCGUGUGCUCGAGGCGCCCGAGCACCUCGUGCUUCUCCUCGUCGCCAGAGACGAGCACCAGGACCAGGCCGUCCCCGCACCGUGCCCCUGCCUCUCCCUUCUUCUUCCUUCCCUCCUCCUUCUCUCACAUGCUCUCUCUAUUCAUGCAACAGGGAGCCAGCGAGGAGUUUGCGCCGGCCAUCCUCGCCUCUCGCGCCCGGAGGUCGUCGUCCUUGAGCUCCUCAACCCGUUCCCGCCUACCUCGUUUCCGGACCCAAGCCAUGGCUGCCGCCAAGUUCAUCGGGAUGCUGCUGCUUCCCACCACCCGGACCCGGCCUGGAGUCGGCGCCCUCGGCCGUUUUCCCCGCCGUCUCCGACAACCACGAGAACCUCCUCGUCCCCGCCGCUGCCUCGCUGGAGGGUUCGUGCCGUCUGAUGCCAUCGUCGUUUGCAAACUCAAUCGCCACCUUCGCCGCCAUCCGUGAAACCCGACGAAGCCAAUCACCAGGACCCGCAGAAGCCAUCUCCGGUGACUGGCCGACGAGCCCGUUGCCGGAGCUGUCGCCGCCGCUGCAGUUCGUCCUCCUGCAACACGCUGCCCCUUGCGGCAUGCUCGCGCGUCCCCCACCGCGGCCUCCCUAGCAGGUUUCCGCAUCCCCGCAGGCCCUCUACAACCACAGCAGCAGUUGUUGUUCGCUCCCGUCGCCGGAGAAUCCCCGUGCGCCCGCUUCAGAUCCGUUCGACUACGUCCGUUUGUCUUCUUCAUGGACUCGUUCUUCUUGCUUGCGGGA